RNAcentral lists this ribosomal RNA (460 nucleotides) under Armina punctilucens. RNAcentral describes it as "partial small subunit ribosomal RNA". It matches the Rfam family "Bacterial large subunit ribosomal RNA", at positions 1829 to 2604 of the family's 2925-position model. Lineage: Eukaryota; Metazoa; Mollusca; Gastropoda; Nudibranchia; Arminidae. The record is from RNAcentral.
AGCUAUAAGUUUUUUAUUUAUAGUUUAACCUGCCCAAUGUUUAAUGAAUUAAUGGCCGCGGUACCCUGACCGUGCUAAGGUAGCGUAAUUAGUUGGCUUUUAAAUGGAGUCAGGAAUGAAUGGGAUAACCGGGUCUAACUGUCUCUAGGCUAUUUUAUCGAAUUUACUUUUCAAGUGAAAAAGCUUGAGAAUAGAAAAGGGACGAGAAGACCCUUAGAAUUUUUAUUUAAAUUAGGCUAAGUAUAUAAAUUUAUGCCUAUAAUAAUUUUGUUGGGGCGACAAAAAAAUAUAUACUAACUUUUUUUGAUCUACACGUCGAAUUUUUUAGGGAAGAAUAAAUUACCUGAGGGAUAACAGCAUAAUUUUAAAAAUAAGUUUGUGACCUCGAUGUUGGACUAGGAAACUAGCAAGCUAGCCGUUUGUUGUGUUGGUUCUGUUCGAACUUUAAUUCCUACAUGAU